This 822-nucleotide ribosomal RNA is filed under the name Zoanthus aff. sociatus KBJ-2018. RNAcentral's name for it is "partial 16S ribosomal RNA". It matches the Rfam family "Bacterial large subunit ribosomal RNA", at positions 1581 to 2473 of the family's 2925-position model. The record is from RNAcentral. Lineage: Eukaryota; Metazoa; Cnidaria; Anthozoa; Zoantharia; Zoanthidae.
UGCCAGGAAAGAAUUAUUCAAGCCCUUCCCAGAAGGUAUCCUUCUGGCAAGGGUACUGUACUAAACUAACUAAAGUGGGGGAUAGUGAGGGGAUAAAUUUUCUUAAGGAACUCGGCAAAAUCCCAAUGGCCCACCAGGGCAUAUUGGAACACGGGCCUCGACUGUUUACCAAAAACAUAGCCCUCGGCUAAUAUGAAAAUAGAUGUAUAGAGGGUGAUGCCUGCCCAAUGGUUGUAUCUAAAAGCGGUUGAUAAAAGUUGACCUCGUAAGGACAAUUGAAUGGCCGCGGUAACACUGACCGUGAUAAUGUAGCGUAAUCAAUAGCCAAUUAAUUGUUGGCCAGUAUGAAUGGCGCCACGAAGGCCCCACUGUCUUAAGGAAAUUCCCAGUGAAAUUGAAUUCGUAGUGAAGAUGCUACGUCCAAUUUGUUAGACGAAAAGACCCCGUUGAGCUUUACUGGAGCACUUACAUGGCCCCGGCCUUCCCAUGCCUGGGAACCGGCCGAAUUUAAAUGGGCGGCUUAGAUUAUGUGGCAGCCCCCCGCUGGGGCAAAUGAAACACCACUCCCCCAUGUCAAAGGGGCUAACCCCCCCCCUUGGGGGGACAGUGUAAGUAGGACAGUUUGGUUGGGGCGACCACCUUUUAAAAAGUAACGAAGGUGCGCUUAAGGUGCGCAAUUAAUGACUGAAGCCUGACUGCGAGGGGGACACCCCGAGCAGACACCCCAAAGCCCGCCCGAAAGGUGGCGGUGGGGUGGGCCAUAGUGACCCGUUAAUUUAGAGUGGAAUAGUUAACGAUCAACGAAUAAAAGUUACCACGGGG